GGGAUUAUAGUUCAGUGGUAGAGCACUUGCCUCACGUGCAUGAGGCCCUGUGUUCAAUCCUCAGUACCA
RNAcentral lists this transfer RNA (69 nucleotides) under Ictidomys tridecemlineatus (thirteen-lined ground squirrel). Its description in RNAcentral is "Spermophilus tridecemlineatus (thirteen-lined ground squirrel) tRNA". It matches the Rfam family "tRNA". Rfam says of the family: Transfer RNA (tRNA) molecules are approximately 80 nucleotides in length. The record is from Rfam by way of RNAcentral. Lineage: Eukaryota; Metazoa; Chordata; Mammalia; Rodentia; Sciuridae.